RNAcentral lists this long non-coding RNA (694 nucleotides) under Monodelphis domestica (gray short-tailed opossum). Its description in RNAcentral is "lncRNA (ENSMODG00000035802.2)". Lineage: Eukaryota; Metazoa; Chordata; Mammalia; Didelphimorphia; Didelphidae. The record is from RNAcentral.
GUAAGCUCUUAGGGUAUGCCGGGGAGGCUAGAAUAAUCAUUUUCAAAGGGAAUCUGUACAAUAGGAAAAAAGCAAUAUUAAAAAAAAACCUGCUGUGAAGUAUUUCAUUUUUGUGAUUCUUUCACAAUUUACAGAAGAAAUGGCACAUGAGGGAAGUUUUCUUUUCUUUGGAGAAUCAUAAAUAAAAUCGUGGUGUAAUCAAAGGACUGAAGAAAAAAGAGACUUCAGCUUUCCCCUCCUGGAACCUCUUACAGAGGCUCUGGCGCUCCAAACCAGUGUCUUGGAAGUCGCCUGGCCCACUUCAGGGGAAGAUAUACUCCUGACAGCUCAAGCUGACUCCAUGAACACAUUUGGAGAGUGAGUUGCUUGUGGAAAUGUGAUGGCUGGGAUCCAGAGUACUAUUCUUUCUUCUCCUCAUUGUGGGUUAAUUGGAUAUGCGCAAUGUUGCUUCAGGUCGUGUAUCCGGUUUGAUCUGAGCUUGGAAAAUGGCAUAAAACCCUGGUGCAACUGUGUUAUGCCAGGAAUGUUUGAUGGACAGGUCAAGCUACUCAGGAGGGGAAGGGAAUGAACUUCCUUGACACAAUAUCUUUUUGUCACAUGAUGCCUUUUUUAAUGGGGAUGGAAGGAGGAGAGGGAGUUUACUUGGCAGUUUUUUUAACUUGGCAUUUUAAUGUAACAGACAAAUAAAAACAGA